Molecule: long non-coding RNA, 4324 nt
Filed under: Cucumis sativus (cucumber)
Lineage: Eukaryota; Viridiplantae; Streptophyta; Magnoliopsida; Cucurbitales; Cucurbitaceae
Description: long non-coding RNA (CSAT_LNC000181)
Source: RNAcentral
GACCACCCAGUAGCUAGAUGUGGACUUUCGAGGCCUCGGACCCCGUUCCAAGUCCGACCGUCCCUUUCCAGGCCAUUGUGCCUUUCUUCGGCGUUUUGGGACGGAACCAAGAAACCGAGUCUGGGGCGUCACCGCUCGGCUUUUGUGGGCAAGAAACUUCGAGAUCACUCAGAAUCGGACCACCCAGUAGCUAGAUGUGGACUUUCGAGGCCUCGGACCCCGUUCCAAGUCCGACCGUCCCUUUCUAGGCCAUUGUGCCUUUCUUCGGCGUUUUGGAACGGAACCAAGAAACCGAGUCUGGGGCGUCACCGUUCGGCUUUUGUGGGCAAGAAACUUUGAGAUCACUCAGAAUCGGACCACCCAGUAGCUAGAUGUGGACUUUCGAGGCCUCGGGACCCCCGUUCCAAAGUCCGACCGUCCCUUUCCAGGCCAUUGUGCCUUUUUCGGCGUUUUGGGACGGAACCAAGAAACCGAGUCUGGGCGUCACCGUUCGGCUUUUGUGGGCAAGAAACUUCGAGAUCACUCAGAAUCGGACCACCCAGUAGCUAGAUGUCGACUUUCGAGGCCUCGGACCCCGUUCCAAGUCCGACCGUCCCUUUCUAGGCCAUUGUGCCUUUCUUCGGCGUUUUGGGACGGAACCAAGAAACCGAGUCUGGGGCGUCACCGUUCGGCUUUUGUGGGCAAGAAACUUCGAGAUCACUCAGAAUAGGACCACCCAGUAGCUAGAUGUGGACUUUCGAGGCCUCGGACCCCGUUCCAAGUCCGACCGUCCCUUUCCAGGCCAUUGUGCCUUUCUUCGGCGUUUUGGGACGGAACCAAGAAACCGAGUCUGCGGCGUCACCGUUCGGCGUUUUGUGGGCAAGAAACUUCGAGAUCACUCAGAAUCGGACCACCCAGUAGCUAGAUGUGGACUUUCGAGGCCUCGGACCCCGUUCCAAGUCCGACCGUCCCUUUCCAGGCCAUUGUGCCUUUCUUCGGCGUUUUAGGACGGAACCAAGAAACCGAGUCUGCGGCGUCACCGUUCGGCUUUUUGUGCGGCAAGAAACUUCGAGAUCACUCAGAAUCGGACACCCCAGUAGCUAGAUGUGGACUUUCGAGGCCUCGGACCCCGUUCCAAGUCCGACCGUCCCUUUCUAGGCCAUUGUGCCUUUCUUCGGCGUUUUGGGACGGAACCAAGAAACCGAGUCUGCGGCGUCACCGUUCGGCUUUUGUGGGCAAGAAACUUCGAGAUCACUAAGAAUGGAUCGGACCACCCAGUAGCUAGAUGUGGACUUUCGAGGCCUCGGACCCCGUUCCAAGUCCGACCGUCCCUUUCUAGGCCAUUGUGCCUUUCUUUCGGCGUUUUGGGACGGAACCAAAGAAACCGAGUCUGGCGGCGUCACCGUUCGGCUUUUGUGGGCAAGAAACUUCGAGAUCACUCAGAAAUCGGACCACCCAGUAGCUAGAUGUGGACUUUCGAGGCCUCGGACCCCGUUCCAAGUCCGACCGUCCCUCUUCAGGCCAUUGUGCCUUUCUUCGGCGUUUUGGGACGGAACCAAGAAACCGAGUCUGGGGCGUCACCGUUCGGCUUUUGUGGGCAAGAAACUUCGAGAUCACUCAGAAUCGGACCACCCAGUAGCUAGAUGUGGACUUUCGAGGCCUCGAACCCCGUUCCAAGUUCCGACCGUCCCUUUCCAGGCCAUUGUGCCUUUCUUCGGCGUUUUGGGACGGAACAAGAAACCGAGUCUGGGCGUCACCGUUCGGCUUUUGUGGGCAAGAAACUUCGAGAUCACUCAGAAUCGGACCACCCAGUAGCUAUUAGUGGACUUUCGAGGCCUCGGACCCCGUUCCAAGUCCGACCGUCCCUUUCUAGGCCAUUGUGCCUUUCUUCGGCGUUUUGGGACGGAACCAAGAAACCGAGUCGGGGCGUCACCGUUCGGCUUUUGUGGGCAAGAAACUUCGAGAUCACUCAGAAUCGGACCACCCAGUAGCUAGAUGUGGACUUUCGAGGCCUCGGACCCCCGUUCCAAGUCCGACCGUCCCUUUCUAGGCCAUUGUGCCUUUCUUCGGCGCUUUGGGACGAACCAAGAAACCGAGUCUGGGGCGUCACCGUUCGGCUUUUGUGGGCAAGAAACUUCGAGAUCACUCAGAAUCGGACCACCCAGUAGCUAGAUGUGGACUUUCGAGGCCUCGGACCCGUUCCAAGUCCGACCGUCCCUUUCCAGGCCAUUGUGCCUUUCUUCGGCGUUUUGGGACGGAACCAAGAAACCGAGUCUGCGGCGUCACCGUUCGGCUUUUGUGGGCAAGAAACUUCGAGAUCACUAAGAAUCGGACUCGGACCACCCAGUAGCUAGAUGUGGACUUUCGAGGCCUCGGACCCCGUUCCAAGUCCGACCGUCCCUUUCUAGGCCAUUGUGCCUUUUCUUUGCGUUUUGGGACGGAACCAAGAAACCGAGUCUGGGCCGUCACCGUUCGGCUUUUGUGGGCAAGAAACUUCGAGAUCACUCAGAAUCGGACCACCCAGUAGCUAGAUGUGGACUUUCGAGGCCUCGGACCCCGUUCCAAGUCCGACCGUCCCUUUCUAGGCCAUUGUGCCUUUCUUCGGCGUUUUGGGACGGAACCAAGAAACCGAGUCUGGGGCGUCACCGUUCGGCUUUUGUGGGCAAGAAACUUCGAGAUCACUCAGAAUCGGACCACCCAGUAGCUAGAUGUGGACUUUCGAGGCCUCGGACCCCGUUCCAAGUUCGACCGUCCCUUUCCAGGCCAUUGUGCCUUUCUUCGGCGUUUUGGGACGGAACCAAGAAACCGAGUCUGGGCGUCACCGUUCGGCUUUUGUGGGCAAGAAACUUCGAGAUCACUCAGAAUCGGACCACCCAGUAGCUAGAUGUGGACUUUCGAGGCCUCGGACCCGUUCCAAGUCCGACCGUCCCUUUCUAGGCCAUUGUGCCUUUCUUCGGGUUUGGGACGGAACCAAGAAACCGAGUCUGGGCGUCACCGUUCGGCUUUUGUGGGCAAGAAACUUCGAGAUCACUCAGAAUCGGACCACCCAGUAGCUAGAUGUGGACUUUCGAGGCCUCGGACCCCGUUCCAAGUCCGACCGUCCCUUUCCAGGCCAUUGUGCCUUUCUUCGGCGUUUUGGGACGGAACCAAGAAACCGAGUCUGGGGCGUCACCGUUCGGCUUUUGUGGGCAAGAAACUUCGAGAUCACUCAGAAUCGGACCACCCAGUAGCUAGAUGUGGACUUUCGAGGCUCGGCCGGACCCCGUUCCAAGUCCGACCGGUCCCUUUCUAGGCCAUUGUGCCUUUCUUCGCGGCUUUGGGACGGAACCAAGAAACCGAGUCUGGGCGUCACCGUUCGGCUUUUGUGGGCAAGAAACUUCGAGAUCACUCUGAAUCGGACCACCCAGUAGCCGGAUGUGGACUUUCGAGGCCUCGGACCCCGUUCCAAGUCCGACCGUCCCUUCUAGGCCAUUGUGCCUUUCUUCGGCGUUUUGGGACGGAACCAAGAAACCGAGUCUGGCGUCACCCGUUCGGCUUUUGUGGGCAAGAAACUUCGAGAUCACUCAGAAAUCGGACCCACCCAGUAGCUAGAUGUGGACUUUCGAGGCCUCGGACCCCGUUCCAAGUCCGACCGUCCCUUUCAGGCCAUUGUGCCUUUCUUCGGCGUUUUGGGACGGAACCAAGAAACCGAGUCUGGGGCGUCCCGUUCGGCUUUUGUGGGCAAGAAACUUCGAGAUCACUCAGAAUCGAACCACCCAGUAGCUAGAUGUGGACUUUCGAGGCCUCGGACCCCGUUCCAAGUCCGGACCGUCCCUUUCUUGGCCAUUGUGCCUUUCUUCGGCGUUUUGGGACGGAACCAAGAAACCGAGUCUGGCGUCACCGUUCGGCUUUUGUGGGCAAGAAACUUCGAGAUCACUCUGAAUUCGGACCACCCAGUAGCUAGAUGUGGACUUUCGAGGCCUCGGACCCCCGUUCCAAGUCCGACCGUCCCUUUCCAGGCCAUUGUGCCUUUCUUCGGCGUUUUGGGGACGGAACCAAGAAACCGAGUCUGGCGUCACCGUUCGGCUUUUGUGGGCAAGAAACUUCGAGAUCACUGUGAAUCGGACCACCCCAGUAGCUAGAUGUGGACUUUCGAGGCCUCGGACCCCGUUCCAAGUCCGACCGUCCUUUUCUAGGCCAUUGUGCCUUUCUUCGGCGUUUUGGGACGGAACCAAGAAACCGAGUCUGGGCGUCACCGUUCGGCUUUUGUGGGCAAGAAACUUCGAGAUCACUCAGAAUCGGACCACCCAGUAGCUAGAUGUGGACUUUCGAGGCCUCGGACCCCGUUCCAAGUCCGACCGUCCCU